UCCGGCAUAGCUCAGCGGUAGAGUAGAUGACUGUUAAUCAUUUGGUCCCUGGUUCGAAUCCAGGUGCCGGAG
This 72-nucleotide transfer RNA is filed under the name Arcobacter cloacae. RNAcentral describes it as "tRNA-Asn". It matches the Rfam family "tRNA". From Rfam's summary of the family: Transfer RNA (tRNA) molecules are approximately 80 nucleotides in length. Their secondary structure includes four short double-helical elements and three loops (D, anti-codon, and T loops). RNAcentral also lists the same sequence under 1 other name. Lineage: Bacteria; Pseudomonadati; Campylobacterota; Epsilonproteobacteria; Campylobacterales; Arcobacteraceae. The record is from RNAcentral.